AAUGAACGCUGGCGGCAGGCCUAACACAUGCAAGUCGAGCGGAUGAAGGGAGCUUGCUCCUGGAUUCAGCGGCGGACGGGUGAGUAAUGCCUAGGAAUCUGCCUGGUAGUGGGGGAUAACGUCCGGAAACGGGCGCUAAUACAGCAUACGUCCUGAGGGAGAAAGUGGGGGAUCUUCGGACCUCACGCUAUUAGAUGAGCCUAGGUCGGAUUAGCUAGUUGGUGGGGUAAAGGCCUACCAAGGCGACGAUCCGUAACUGGUCUGAGAGGAUGAUCAGUCACACUGGAACUGAGACACGGUCCAGACUCCUACGGGAGGCAGCAGUGGGGAAUAUUGGGCAAUGGGCGAAAGCCUGAUCCAGCCAUGCCGCGUGUGUGAAGAAGGUCUUCGGAUUGUAAAGCACUUUAAGUUGGGAGGAAGGGCAGUAAGUUAAUACCUUGCUGUUUUGACGGUACCUACAGAAUAAGCACCGGCUAACUUCGUG
Molecule: ribosomal RNA, 484 nt
Filed under: uncultured bacterium
Lineage: Bacteria
Description: partial 16S ribosomal RNA
Rfam family: Bacterial small subunit ribosomal RNA
Source: RNAcentral